GACGAACGCUGGCGGCGUGCUUAACACAUGCAAGUCGAACGGAAAGGCCCUGCUUUUGUGGGGUGCUCGAGUGGCGAACGGGUGAGUAACACGUGAGUAACCUGCCCUUGACUUUGGGAUAACUUCAGGAAACUGGGGCUAAUACCGGAUAGGAGCUCCUGCUGCAUGGUGGGGGUUGGAAAGUUUCGGCGGUUGGGGAUGGACUCGCGGCUUAUCAGCUUGUUGGUGGGGUAGUGGCUUACCAAGGCUUUGACGGGUAGCCGGCCUGAGAGGGUGACCGGCCACAUUGGGACUGAGAUACGGCCCAGACUCCUACGGGAGGCAGCAGUGGGGAAUAUUGCACAAUGGGCGGACGCCUGAUGCAGCAACGCCGCGUGCGGGAUGACGGCCUUCGGGUUAUAAACCGCUUUCGCCUGUGACGAAGCGUGAGUGACGGUAAUGGGUAAAGAAGCACCGGCUAACUACGUG
This 468-nucleotide ribosomal RNA is filed under the name uncultured bacterium. Its description in RNAcentral is "partial 16S ribosomal RNA". It matches the Rfam family "Bacterial small subunit ribosomal RNA", at positions 28 to 507 of the family's 1533-position model. The record is from RNAcentral.